Molecule: ribosomal RNA, 253 nt
Filed under: uncultured bacterium
Lineage: Bacteria
Description: partial 16S ribosomal RNA
Rfam family: Bacterial small subunit ribosomal RNA
Source: RNAcentral
UACGUAGGGGGCAAGCGUUGUCCGGAUUUAUUGGGCGUAAAGAGCGUGUAGGCGGCCAGAUAGGUCUGCUGUGAAAACUCGAGGCUCAACCUCGAGCUGUCGGCGGAAACCAUCCGGCUAGAGUCCGGAAGAGGAGAGUGGAAUUCCCGGUGUAGCGGUGAAAUGCGCAGAUAUCGGGAAGAACACCUGUGGCGAAGGCGGCUCUCUGGGACGGUACUGACGCUGAGACGCGAAAGCGUGGGGAGCAAACAGG